This 468-nucleotide ribosomal RNA is filed under the name uncultured bacterium. RNAcentral describes it as "partial 16S ribosomal RNA". It matches the Rfam family "Bacterial small subunit ribosomal RNA", at positions 28 to 507 of the family's 1533-position model. The record is from RNAcentral.
GACGAACGCUGUCGGCGUGCUUAACACAUGCAAGUCGAACGGAAAGGCCCUGCUUUUGUGGGGUGCUCGAGUGGCGAACGGGUGAGUAACACGUGAGUAACCUGCCCUUGACUUCGGGAUAACUUCAGGAAACUGGGGCUAAUACCGGAUAGGAGCUCCUGCUGCAUGGUGGGGGUUGGAAAGUUUCGGCGGUUGGGGAUGGACUCGCGGCUUAUCAGCUUGUUGGUGGGGUAGUGGCUUACCAAGGCUUUGACGGGUAGCCGGCCUGAGAGGGUGACCGGCCACAUUGGGACUGAGAUACGGCCCAGACUCCUACGGGAGGCAGCAGUGGGGAAUAUUGCACAAUGGGCGGAAGCCUGAUGCAGCAACGCCGCGUGCGGGAUGACGGCCUUCGGGUUGUAAACCGCUUUCGCCUGUGACGAAGCGUGAGUGACGGUAAUGGGUAAAGAAGCACCGGCUAACUACGUG